GGGUAAAAGCCUUUUAUUGUUACCAAAUCCAGUACUUAUAAUAUACGCCUACAGGUGAGAUAAAAAUAUUACGCGUGCAUGACUUUAUAAUGUAUGGUAUUAUUUGGUUUUUUCCUGCAUGACUAUAAGUUAUAGUCUUUGUAACGAAAACUAUAAUACUUUUUAUAAAAAAAAAAAAAAAAACAAAGACUUGUUCUUUAUUAGUGGCAAUUUGCAUUGUAAAUUACCGAUUAAAAGAGAUUUUUUUAUAAAAAAAUAUAUUGCAUGGAAACAAAAGAGAAGCAGCG
This 287-nucleotide long non-coding RNA is filed under the name Capsella rubella. RNAcentral's name for it is "long non-coding RNA (CRUB_LNC001520)". The record is from RNAcentral. Lineage: Eukaryota; Viridiplantae; Streptophyta; Magnoliopsida; Brassicales; Brassicaceae.